This 253-nucleotide ribosomal RNA is filed under the name uncultured bacterium. RNAcentral's name for it is "partial 16S ribosomal RNA". It matches the Rfam family "Bacterial small subunit ribosomal RNA", at positions 524 to 776 of the family's 1533-position model. The record is from RNAcentral.
UACGAGGGGGGCUAGCGUUGCUCGGAAUCACUGGGCGUAAAGGGUGCGUAGGCGGGUCUUUAAGUCAGGGGUGAAAUCCUGGAGCUCAACUCCAGAACUGCCUUUGAUACUGAAGAUCUUGAGUUCGGGAGAGGUGAGUGGAACUGCGAGUGUAGAGGUGAAAUUCGUAGAUAUUCGCAAGAACACCAGUGGCGAAGGCGGCUCACUGGCCCGAUACUGACGCUGAGGCACGAAAGCGUGGGGAGCAAACAGG